CGGGGUGUAGCGCAGUCUGGUAGCGCGCCUGCUUUGGGAGCAGGAUGUCGGGAGUUCGAAUCUCUUCACCCCGA
This 74-nucleotide transfer RNA is filed under the name Sutterella wadsworthensis 2_1_59BFAA. It matches the Rfam family "tRNA". Rfam says of the family: Transfer RNA (tRNA) molecules are approximately 80 nucleotides in length. Their secondary structure includes four short double-helical elements and three loops (D, anti-codon, and T loops). The record is from Rfam by way of RNAcentral. Lineage: Bacteria; Pseudomonadati; Pseudomonadota; Betaproteobacteria; Burkholderiales; Sutterellaceae.